AUCCGAAGGGGGCUAGCGUUGCUCGGAAUGACUGGGCGUAAAGGGUGCGUAGGCGGCGCUGUAAGUCAGACGUGAAAUUCCUGGGCUUAACCUGGGGACUGCGUUUGAGACUGUGGUGCUAGAGGGUGGAAGAGGCUCGUGGAAUUCCCAGUGUAGAGGUGAAAUUCGUAGAUAUUGGGAAGAACACCGGUGGCGAAGGCGGCGAGCUGGUCCAUUACUGACGCUGAGGUGCGAUAGCGUGGGGAGC
Molecule: ribosomal RNA, 247 nt
Filed under: uncultured bacterium
Lineage: Bacteria
Description: partial 16S ribosomal RNA
Rfam family: Bacterial small subunit ribosomal RNA
Source: RNAcentral